RNAcentral lists this ribosomal RNA (1119 nucleotides) under Triticum aestivum (bread wheat). Its description in RNAcentral is "partial small subunit ribosomal RNA". The record is from RNAcentral. Lineage: Eukaryota; Viridiplantae; Streptophyta; Magnoliopsida; Poales; Poaceae.
AUGAGAACACCUCAUGGAGCGCUCCUCUUGCUCUUCAUUGUGGCGUGCCUCCGCGGUGCUUACUCCGGCGGCGGCUGGAGCCGCUUCACCUCCAUAAUCAGCUUUGGGGACUCCUACGCCGACACGGGUAACUUGAUCAUGUGGGCUGAUCCCGUCCUUCCGGGUCUACUACUCAAGAACCUCCCCUACGGCGAGACCUUCUUCGGCCACCCCACCGGGCGUGCCACCGACGGCCGCCUGGUGCUGGACUUCAUCGCCGAGGCUUUGGGUCUGCCUUCUAUGCCGCCGUACCUCGCCAGGGGAAGCAACUUCUCCGCCGGAGUGAACUUCGCCGUGGUAGGAGCGCCGGCUCUGAACUUGACGUACCUGCAGGGACUGAACUUGACAGUGAAUCCUCCUAUUAACAGCUCCCUCCACGACCAGCUCGUGUGGUUCCAGAAACUCAAGCCUUCGCUCUGCAAUGGACAAGGUACUGACUGCUUUGGGAGCUCCCUGUUUGUCAUGGGAGAGUUUGGAGGAAAUGACUACAUAAGCUUCCUUCUGUCCAACAGAACCGUUGAACAAGCCAGACCUUAUGUUCCUCAAAUUGUCGACAGCAUUUCCAGAGGCCUAGAGAGACUAGUUCAACAUGGCGCCAAGUACAUCGUUGUGGCAGACAUCUUCCCGAUUGGCUGCCUACCAGCAGCGCUCACAAAGCUCGCUAGCCCAAACAAGGUGGAGUAUGAUCGGCACGGAUGCCUGAAGAGUGUUAACAGGUUGGGCCGCUACCACAACUCUCUCCUUCGUCAACAGAUCAAGAUGCUCCGGUACAAGUACCCACAUACUAAGAUCAUUGCCGCCGAAUACUACAAACCCUUCCUUGCAUUUUUAGAUAUGCCGGGAGAUUUUGGACUGAAUAGCAGCACAACCCUCCUCACCUGUUGUGGUGCAGGAGGCCCUCCUUAUAACUACGACUUCAACGCAGGGUGCGGCCUGCCGGAUGUGAAGGCGUGUGCAGAUACAUCUCAGGCGCUUCAGUGGGAUGGUUUCCACCUCACGGAAUCCGCCUACAGAGCCAUUGCUGAUGGAUGGCUCCAUGGCCCAUACGCGGAUCCACCGAUAUUGCACAUUGCACGCUAG